UCUUUUCUCGAAAGUAAAAGAUCUAAUUAAUUAUAUGAGUUUUUGUGUCAAUAAAAUUCAAUAUAUUUAUUUAGGUGUAAAAUGUUAAUCGUUUUUACUAAUAUCUGGUAACUUUAAAAAAAAAUUUAGUUUGAAUCGUUAUGAAGAUCUUUAUUUUAAAGUGAUUUUAGUUAUGAUUUUAAGUUUUAGGGGAUGAGCUCUAAAAUUAAUAUAAAAGAAGAAAUAGUUUUUGGUUUUUAGUAGGCUUAGAAUUUGUCAUGGGAUAGUGUUAUAAGAUAAAAAUUAAAGUUUAAGAUUUAUUUUUCUUUUGUUUCUAUAAAGUUAAUAAAAAAAUGGUUUUACAAUUGGAAAUAUGAUAGUAUAAGUAGAUAAGAAUAAGUUUAGAAUAAAAUAUAAAUUUUUCUUAAAAAUUUUUUGUAUAAUAUGUAAUAAAAGAACUCGGCAAAAGAGAUUUCCGAAUGUUUAACAAAAACAUUUCCUCUUGAAAAAGGGAGGUAAGACCUGCUCACUGAAUUUUAAAGAGCCGCAGUAUUCUGACUGUGCUAAGGUAGCAUAAUCAUUAGUCUUUUAAUUGGAGACUGGUAUGAAUGGUUAAACGAGAGAUCAGCUUUUUUUGUUACAAAAAUUGAAUUUUAUUUUUUAGUGAAAAAGCUAAAAUUGUUCAGAAAGACGAGAAGACCCUAUAGAGUUUUAUAUUUUUUAUAACUUUUUUUUAUUAGAUUUUUUUGAAUUGAGUUGUGAAAAAGUAUUUUGUUGGGGCGACAUUAAGAUAAAAAAAACUCUUUAUUUUUUAAACUUUAAUGAAAGAAAUAAUUGAUCCUUUAAAAAAGAUCAUAAGAAAAAAUUACCUUAGGGAUAACAGCGUAAUCUUUUUUGAGAGUUCUAAUCGACAAAAAGGUUUGCGACCUCGAUGUUGGACUAAAAUUUAGACA
RNAcentral lists this ribosomal RNA (932 nucleotides) under Tetraclita milleporosa. Its description in RNAcentral is "partial 16S ribosomal RNA". The stretch from base 412 to 656 matches the Rfam family "Archaeal large subunit ribosomal RNA", at positions 1784 to 2143 of the family's 2987-position model. The record is from RNAcentral. Lineage: Eukaryota; Metazoa; Arthropoda; Thecostraca; Balanomorpha; Tetraclitidae.